This 1646-nucleotide non-coding RNA is filed under the name Saccharomyces cerevisiae YJM1244. RNAcentral describes it as "15S ribosomal RNA". It matches the Rfam family "Bacterial small subunit ribosomal RNA". The record is from RNAcentral. Lineage: Eukaryota; Fungi; Ascomycota; Saccharomycetes; Saccharomycetales; Saccharomycetaceae.
GUAAAAAUUUUAUAAGAAUAUGAUGUUGGUUCAGAUUAAGCGCUAAAUAAGGACAUGACACAUGCGAAUCAUACGUUUAUUAUUGAUAAGAUAAUAAAUAUGUGGUGUAAACGUGAGUAAUUUUAUUAGGAAUUAAUGAACUAUAGAAUAAGCUAAAUACUUAAUAUAUUAUUAUAUAAAAAUAAUUUAUAUAAUAAAAAGGAUAUAUAUAUAAUAUAUAUUUAUCUAUAGUCAAGCCAAUAAUGGUUUAGGUAGUAGGUUUAUUAAGAGUUAAACCUAGCCAACGAUCCAUAAUCGAUAAUGAAAGUUAGAACGAUCACGUUGACUCUGAAAUAUAGUCAAUAUCUAUAAGAUACAGCAGUGAGGAAUAUUGGACAAUGAUCGAAAGAUUGAUCCAGUUACUUAUUAGGAUGAUAUAUAAAAAUAUUUUUAUUUUAUUUAUAAAUAUUAAAUAUUUAUAAUAAUAAUAAUAAUAUAUAUAUAUAAAUUGAUUAAAAAUAAAAUCCAUAAAUAAUUAAAAUAAUGAUAUUAAUUACCAUAUAUAUUUUUAUAUGGAUAUAUAUAUUAAUAAUAAUAUUAAUUUUAUUAUUAUUAAUAAUAUAUUUUAAUAGUCCUGACUAAUAUUUGUGCCAGCAGUCGCGGUAACACAAAGAGGGCGAGCGUUAAUCAUAAUGGUUUAAAGGAUCCGUAGAAUGAAUUAUAUAUUAUAAUUUAGAGUUAAUAAAUAUAAUUAAAGAAUUAUAAUAGUAAAGAUGAAAUAAUAAUAAUAAUUAUAAGACUAAUAUAUGUGAAAAUAUUAAUUAAAUAUUAACUGACAUUGAGGGAUUAAAACUAGAGUAGCGAAACGGAUUCGAUACCCGUGUAGUUCUAGUAGUAAACUAUGAAUACAAUUAUUUAUAAUAUAUAUUAUAUAUAAAUAAUAAAUGAAAAUGAAAGUAUUCCACCUGAAGAGUACGUUAGCAAUAAUGAAACUCAAAACAAUAGACGGUUACAGACUUAAGCAGUGGAGCAUGUUAUUUAAUUCGAUAAUCCACGACUAACCUUACCAUAUUUUGAAUAUUAUAAUAAUUAUUAUAAUUAUUAUAUUACAGGCGUUACAUUGUUGUCUUUAGUUCGUGCUGCAAAGUUUUAGAUUAAGUUCAUAAACGAACAAAACUCCAUAUAUAUAAUUUUAAUUAUAUAUAAUUUUAUAUUAUUUAUUAAUAUAAAGAAAGGAAUUAAGACAAAUCAUAAUGAUCCUUAUAAUAUGGGUAAUAGACGUGCUAUAAUAAAAUGAUAAUAAAAUUAUAUAAAAUAUAUUUAAUUAUAUUUAAUUAAUAAUAUAAAACAUUUUAAUUUUUAAUAUAUUUUUUUAUUAUAUAUUAAUAUGAAUUAUAAUCUGAAAUUCGAUUAUAUGAAAAAAGAAUUGCUAGUAAUACGUAAAUUAGUAUGUUACGGUGAAUAUUCUAACUGUUUCGCACUAAUCACUCAUCACGCGUUGAAACAUAUUAUUAUCUUAUUAUUUAUAUAAUAUUUUUUAAUAAAUAUUAAUAAUUAUUAAUUUAUAUUUAUUUAUAUCAGAAAUAAUAUGAAUUAAUGCGAAGUUGAAAUACAGUUACCGUAGGGGAACCUGCGGUGGGCUUAUAAAUAUCUUAAAUAUUCUUACA